UACGUAGGGGGCAAGCGUUGUCCGGAAUUAUUGGGCGUAAAGCGCGCGCAGGCGGCCUUGUAAGUCUGUUGUUUAAACUCGGGGCUCAACCCCGAGUCGCAAUGGAAACUGCAAAGCUUGAGUACAGAAGAGGAAAGUGGAAUUCCACGUGUAGCGGUGAAAUGCGUAGAGAUGUGGAGGAACACCAGUGGCGAAGGCGACUUUCUGGGCUGAUAACUGACGCUGAGGCGCGAAAGCGUGGGGAGCAAACAGG
RNAcentral lists this ribosomal RNA (253 nucleotides) under uncultured bacterium. RNAcentral's name for it is "partial 16S ribosomal RNA". It matches the Rfam family "Bacterial small subunit ribosomal RNA", at positions 524 to 776 of the family's 1533-position model. The record is from RNAcentral.